Molecule: ribosomal RNA, 888 nt
Filed under: Paraphoma pye
Lineage: Eukaryota; Fungi; Ascomycota; Dothideomycetes; Pleosporales; Phaeosphaeriaceae
Description: partial large subunit ribosomal RNA
Rfam family: Eukaryotic large subunit ribosomal RNA
Source: RNAcentral
UAUCAAUAAGCGGAGGAAAAGAAACCAACAGGGAUUGCCCUAGUAACGGCGAGUGAAGCGGCAACAGCUCAAAUUUGAAAUCUGGCUCUUUCAGAGUCCGAGUUGUAAUUUGCAGAGGGCGCUUUGGUGUUGGCAGCGGUCCAAGUUCCUUGGAACAGGACGUCACAGAGGGUGAGAAUCCCGUACGUGGUCGCUAGCCUUCGCCGUGUAAAGCCCCUUCGACGAGUCGAGUUGUUUGGGAAUGCAGCUCUAAAUGGGAGGUAAAUUUCUUCUAAAGCUAAAUACUGGCCAGAGACCGAUAGCGCACAAGUAGAGUGAUCGAAAGAUGAAAAGCACUUUGGAAAGAGAGUCAAAUAGCACGUGAAAUUGUUGAAAGGGAAGCGCUUGCAGCCAGACUUGCCUGUAGUUGCUUAUCCGGACUUUUGUCCGGUGCACUCUUCUGCGGGCAGGCCAGCAUCAGUUUGGGCGGUUGGAUAAAGGUCUCUGUCAUGUACCUCUCUUCGGGGAGAACUUAUAGGGGAGACGACAUGCAACCAGCCUGGACUGAGGUCCGCGCAUCUGCUAGGAUGCUGGCGUAAUGGCUGUAAGCGGCCCGUCUUGAAACACGGACCAAGGAGUCUAACAUCUAUGCGAGUGUUUGGGUGUCAAGCCCAGACGCGUAAUGAAAGUGAACGGAGGUGGGAACCCUUUGGGUGCACCAUCGACCGAUCCUGAUGUCUUCGGAUGGAUUUGAGUAAGAGCAUGGCUGUUGGGACCCGAAAGAUGGUGAACUAUGCUUGAAUAGGGUGAAGCCAGAGGAAACUCUGGUGGAGGCUCGCAGCGGUUCUGACGUGCAAAUCGAUCGUCAAAUUUGGGCAUAGGGGCGAAAGACUAAUCGAACUAUCUAGU